Molecule: ribosomal RNA, 336 nt
Filed under: uncultured bacterium
Lineage: Bacteria
Description: partial 16S ribosomal RNA
Rfam family: Bacterial small subunit ribosomal RNA
Source: RNAcentral
CCUACGGGAGGCAGCAGUAGGGAAUCUUCCACAAUGGGCGAAAGCCUGAUGGAGCAACGCCGCGUGGGUGAAGAAGGUCUUCGGAUCGUAAAACCCUGUUGUUAGAGAAGAAAGUGCGUGAGAGUAACUGUUCACGUUUCGACGGUAUCUAACCAGAAAGCCACGGCUAACUACGUGCCAGCAGCCGAGGUAAUACGUCGGUGGCCAGCUUUAUCCGGAUUUAUUGGGCGUAAAUGGAACGCAGGCGGUCUUUUAAGUCUGAUGUGAAAGCCUUCGGCUUAACCGGCGUAGUGCAUUGGAAACUGGGAGACUUGAGUGCAGAAGAGGAGAGUGGAA